This 384-nucleotide ribosomal RNA is filed under the name uncultured bacterium. RNAcentral's name for it is "bacterial SSU rRNA". It matches the Rfam family "Bacterial small subunit ribosomal RNA", at positions 29 to 405 of the family's 1533-position model. The record is from RNAcentral.
AACGAACGCUGGCGGCAGGCCUAACACAUGCAAGUCGAACGCUCGUAGCAAUACGAGAGUGGCAGACGGGUGAGUAACACGUGGGAACCUUCCCUAUGGUUCGGAAUAGCUCAGGGAAACUUGAGCUAAUACCGCAUGACAUCCCCUUCACACACGAGUCGGGGAUCAAAGCCGGGGACCCUUCGGGGCCUGGCGCCUGAGGAGAAGCCCGCGCCCGAUUAGCUAGUUGGUGAGGUAAUGGCUCACCAAGGCUUCGAUCGGUAGCCGGCCUGAGAGGGCGGACGGCCACACUGGGACUGAGACACGGCCCAGACUCCUACGGGAGGCAGCAGCGGGGUAAUUUUUGUCAAUGGGGGAAACCCUGAACAAGCAACGCCGCGUGGA